This 427-nucleotide ribosomal RNA is filed under the name uncultured bacterium. RNAcentral describes it as "bacterial SSU rRNA". It matches the Rfam family "Bacterial small subunit ribosomal RNA", at positions 355 to 774 of the family's 1533-position model. The record is from RNAcentral.
UGGGGAAUUUUGGACAAUGGGGGAAACCCUGAUCCAGCCAUCCCGCGUGUGCGAUGAAGGCCUUCGGGUUGUAAAGCACUUUUGGCAGGAAAGAAACGUCGCGGGUUAAUACCCCGCGGAACUGACGGUACCUGCAGAAUAAGCACCGGCUAACUACGUGCCAGCAGCCGCGGUAAUACGUAGGGUGCAAGCGUUAAUCGGAAUUACUGGGCGUAAAGCGUGCGCAGGCGGUUCGGAAAGAAAGAUGUGAAAUCCCAGAGCUUAACUUUGAAACUGCAUUUUUAACUACCGGGCUAGAGUGUGUCAGAGGGAGGUGGAAUUCCGCGUGUAGCAGUGAAAUGCGUAGAUAUGCGGAGGAACACCGAUGGCGAAGGCAGCCUCCUGGGAUAACACUGACGCUCAUGCACGAAAGCGUGGGGAGCAAACA